UACGGAGGGAGCUAGCGCUGUUCGGAAUUACUGGGCGUAAGGCGCGCGUAGGCGGCUACCCAAGUCAGAGGUGAAAGCCCGGGGCUCAACCCCGGAACUGCCUUUGAAACUAGGUGGCUGGAAUCUUGGAGAGGUCAGUGGAAUUCCGAGUGUAGAGGUGAAAUUCGUAGAUAUUCGGAAGAACACCAGUGGCGAAGGCGACUGACUGGACAAGUAUUGACGCUGAGGUGCGAAAGCGUGGGGAGCAAACAGG
RNAcentral lists this ribosomal RNA (253 nucleotides) under uncultured bacterium. RNAcentral's name for it is "partial 16S ribosomal RNA". It matches the Rfam family "Bacterial small subunit ribosomal RNA", at positions 524 to 776 of the family's 1533-position model. The record is from RNAcentral.